GGGGGGAAAUUAAUUAAAUAAAAUUAAUAAAAUAAAUUUUAAAGUUAAAAAUAAAUUGGGGGUUAAAGUAUUUUUAAUAGAAAAAAUUUAAAUUUUUAUAGUAAAUUAGUAUUGUAAAAGAAAUUUGAAAUAGUUUAAAAAUUAAUUAAUAGAAAAGAAGAUUUAAUUUAUUGUAUCUUGUGUAUCAGAGUUUAUUAAAUAAUUUUUUAAAAUAAAAAAAUCUCGAAUUUAAAAGAGUUAAUUAAUUAUGAAAGUUAAUGUAACAUAAUUAUUUUAAAUAAUUAAUUAGAAAUGAAAUGUUAAUCGUUUUUAAAUAUAUCUAGUUAUUUUAGAAAAAAAUUUAAUUUUAAAUUUAAAUAAUUUUAUAAUUUAAUGAUAAAAAUAUAAAAAUUUAAAUUUAAUAUAUUAAGGGAUAAGCUUUAAAAUUAAAAAUUUAUAAUAAAAAUAAUUUAAAAUUAAAAUUUUUAAAAUUUAUAUUGUUUAAAAAUUAUAAUUUAUUAUAAAAAAUUUUAAUAAAAAUAAAAUUAAAAAAAAAUUUAAAUUUUUAUAAAAUAAUAAUUUUUAAUAAGAUAAAAUUAAUAAUAAUGAUAAAAUUAGUAUAAAAUAAUAAUAAUAUAAUAUAAAUAAAUAAUUAAAAUUAAUUAAAAGGAAUUCGGCAAAAUAUAAUAUUCACUUGUUUAUCAAAAACAUGUCUUUUUGAUUAUAAUUUAAAGUCUAAUCUGCCCACUGAUAAAUAUUAAAGGGCUGCAGUAUAUUGACUGUACAAAGGUAGCAUAAUCAUUAGUUUUUUAAUUGAAAACUUGUAUGAAAGAUUUGAUGAAAUAUAAACUGUCUCUUUAUUAUUAUUAAAAAUUUAUUUUUUAGUAAAAAGCUAAAAUAGUUUUAAAAGACGAGAAGACCCUAUAGAGUUUUAUAUUAAAUUUAUAUUUUAAAAAUAUAUAAAAAUUGAUAUUAAAAUAAAAUUUAGUAUUUUAUUGGGGUGAUAGAAAAAUUAAAUUAACUUUUUUUAAAAAUUAAACAUAAAUAAAUGAUUAAAUGAUCCAUAAAUAAUGAUUAUAAGAAUAAAUUACCUUAGGGAUAACAGCGUAAUAUUUUUUUUUAGUUCAAAUAAAAAAAAAGUUUGCGACCUCGAUGUUGGAUUAAGAUAAAAUUUAAAUGCAAAAGUUUAAAAUUUUGAUCUGUUCGAUCAUUAAAAUCUUACAUGAUCUGAGUUCAAACCGGUGUGAGCCAGGUUGGUUUCUAUCUUUAAAAAAAAAAAAUAUUUUA
RNAcentral lists this ribosomal RNA (1266 nucleotides) under Kirinia epimenides. Its description in RNAcentral is "partial 16S ribosomal RNA". Lineage: Eukaryota; Metazoa; Arthropoda; Insecta; Lepidoptera; Nymphalidae. The record is from RNAcentral.